GAGCGCUAUGAGAAUAUUCUUGGCCUGCUAAGCCCUAGAAUUCGUGGUUUAACUCCAUGGAGCGCUCG
RNAcentral lists this transfer RNA (68 nucleotides) under Stichopus horrens (warty sea cucumber). RNAcentral's name for it is "tRNA-Ser". Lineage: Eukaryota; Metazoa; Echinodermata; Holothuroidea; Aspidochirotida; Stichopodidae. The record is from RNAcentral.